AUGCAAGUCAGGGCAGCACAAGGAGCAAUCUGAGGUGGCGACCGGCGCACGGGUGAGUAACACGUAUGCAACCUGCCUGUAAGCGGGGAAUAACCCGUUGAAAGACGGACUAAUACCGCAUAAUACUAAAUUACUGCAUGGUAAUUUAUUUAAACAUUUAUGGCUUACAGAUGGGCAUGCGCAUGAUUAGCUAGUUGGAGAGGUAACGGCUCCCCAAGGCAACGAUCAUUAGGGGUUCUGAGAGGAAGGUCCCCCACACUGGUACUGAGACACGGACCAGACUCCUACGGGAGGCAGCAGUGAGGAAUAUUGGUCAAUGGACGAGAGUCUGAACCAGCCAAGUCGCGUGCAGGAAGAAUGUCCCUAUGGAUUGUAAACUGCUUUUGCAGGGGAAUAAAGUGCAUCACGUGUGAUGUUUUGUAUGUACUCUGCGAAUAAGGAUCGGCUAACUCCGUGCCAGCCGCCGC
Molecule: ribosomal RNA, 467 nt
Filed under: uncultured bacterium
Lineage: Bacteria
Description: bacterial SSU rRNA
Rfam family: Bacterial small subunit ribosomal RNA
Source: RNAcentral